Molecule: ribosomal RNA, 205 nt
Filed under: uncultured bacterium
Lineage: Bacteria
Description: partial 16S ribosomal RNA
Rfam family: Bacterial small subunit ribosomal RNA
Source: RNAcentral
CGCAGGCGGGAGAACAAGUUGGAAGUGAAAUCCAUGGGCUCAACCCAUGAACUGCUUUCAAAACUGUUUUUCUUGAGUAGUGCAGAGGUAGGCGGAAUUCCCGGUGUAGCGGUGGAAUGCGUAGAUAUCGGGAGGAACACCAGUGGCGAAGGCGGCCUACUGGGCACCAACUGACGCUGAGGCUCGAAAGUGUGGGUAGCAAACA